Molecule: transfer RNA, 85 nt
Filed under: Planctomyces sp.
Lineage: Bacteria; Pseudomonadati; Planctomycetota; Planctomycetia; Planctomycetales; Planctomycetaceae
Description: tRNA-Ser
Rfam family: tRNA
About the family: Transfer RNA (tRNA) molecules are approximately 80 nucleotides in length. Their secondary structure includes four short double-helical elements and three loops (D, anti-codon, and T loops). Further hydrogen bonds mediate the characteristic L-shaped molecular structure. tRNAs have two regions of fundamental functional importance: the anti-codon, which is responsible for specific mRNA codon recognition, and the 3' end, to which the tRNAs corresponding amino acid is attached (by aminoacyl-tRNA synthetases). tRNAs cope with the degeneracy of the genetic code in two manners: having more than one tRNA (with a specific anti-codon) for a particular amino acid; and 'wobble' base-pairing, i.e. permitting non-standard base-pairing at the 3rd anti-codon position.
Source: RNAcentral
GGAGGGAUGACAGAGUGGCCGAUUGUGCUGGUCUCGAAAACCAGUGUAGGGCAACCUACCGGGGGUUCGAAUCCCCCUCCCUCCG